RNAcentral lists this ribosomal RNA (460 nucleotides) under uncultured bacterium. Its description in RNAcentral is "partial 16S ribosomal RNA". It matches the Rfam family "Bacterial small subunit ribosomal RNA", at positions 338 to 795 of the family's 1533-position model. The record is from RNAcentral.
CCUACGGGAGGCAGCAGUGAGGAAUAUUGGUCAAUGGACGGAAGUCUGAACCAGCCAUGCCGCGUGAAGGAAGACGGCGCUAUGAGUUGUCAACUGCUUUUGUACAAGGGUAAACCUGAAUACGUGUAUUCAGCUGAAAGUACUGUACGAAUAAGGAUCGGCUCACUCCGUGCCAGCAGCCGCGGUAAUACGGAGGAUCCAAGCGUUAUCCGGAUUGAUUGGGUUUAAAGGGUGCGUAGGCGGAUUGGUAAGUUAGAGGUGAAAUGUCCGAGCUUAACUCGGGACAUGCCUCUAAAACUGUUGGUCGAGAGAGUAGAUGCGGUAGGCGGAAUGUAUGGUGUAGCGGUGAAAUGCUUAGAGAUCAUACAGAACCCCGAUUGCGAAGGCAGCUUACCAAUCUAUAUCUGACGUUGAGGCACGAAAGCGUGGGGAGCAAACAGGAUUAGAUACCCCAGUAGUC